RNAcentral lists this ribosomal RNA (497 nucleotides) under uncultured bacterium. RNAcentral's name for it is "partial 16S ribosomal RNA". It matches the Rfam family "Bacterial small subunit ribosomal RNA", at positions 28 to 507 of the family's 1533-position model. The record is from RNAcentral.
GAUGAACGCUGGCGGCGUGCCUAAUACAUGCAAGUCGAGCGAACGGGCGCGGAGCUUGCUGCUCUGUUGUUAGCGGCGGACGGGAGAGAAACACGUGGAUAACGUACUUAUAAGACUGGGAACACUUGGAGAAACCGGCUCUUACACGGGAUAAUCUUUUGAUCCGCAUGGUGCAAAAGUGAGAGACGGUCUUGCUGUCUCUUAUAGAUGGAUCCGCGCUGCAUUAGCUAGUUGGUAAGGUAACGGCUUACCAAGGCAACGAGGCAUAGCCGACCGGAGAGAGUGAUCGGCCACACGGGAGCGUAGACACGCACCAGACGCCUACGGGAGGCAGCAGUAGGGAAUCUGACGCAACGGGCGAAAGCAUGACGGAGCAACGCCGAGUGAGAUAUGAAGGUGCUCCGAGCGUAAAGCUCGGUUACGAGUGAAGAACAGAUGUGUAAGGAACUGUGCAGAUCGUGACGGUAAUUAAUCAGAAAGCCACGGCUAACUACGUG